This is a transfer RNA of Neurospora crassa OR74A, 89 nucleotides long. It matches the Rfam family "tRNA". From Rfam's summary of the family: Transfer RNA (tRNA) molecules are approximately 80 nucleotides in length. Their secondary structure includes four short double-helical elements and three loops (D, anti-codon, and T loops). Further hydrogen bonds mediate the characteristic L-shaped molecular structure. tRNAs have two regions of fundamental functional importance: the anti-codon, which is responsible for specific mRNA codon recognition, and the 3' end, to which the tRNAs corresponding amino acid is attached (by aminoacyl-tRNA synthetases). tRNAs cope with the degeneracy of the genetic code in two manners: having more than one tRNA (with a specific anti-codon) for a particular amino acid; and 'wobble' base-pairing, i.e. permitting non-standard base-pairing at the 3rd anti-codon position. NCBI's taxonomy places the organism in Eukaryota, Fungi, Ascomycota, Sordariomycetes, Sordariales, Sordariaceae. The record is from Rfam.
GCGGGUUUAGCUCAGUUGGGAGAGCGUCAGACUGAAGUCCACUUCAUUCGUAAAUCUGAAGGUCGUGUGUUCGAUCCACACAAACCGCA